CCCAGACUCCUACGGGAGGCAGCAGUGGGGAAUAUUGCACAAUGGGGGGAACCCUGAUGCAGCGACGCCGCGUGGGUGAAGGAGCACCUCGGUGCGUAAAGCCCUAUCGGCAGGGAAGAAACAGACGGUACCUGACUAAGAAGCCCCGGCUAACUACGUGCCGGCAGCCGCGGUAAUACGUAGGGGGCAAGCGUUAUCCGGAUUUACUGGGUGUAAAGGGAGCGCAGGCGGCACGGCAAGCCUGAUGUGAAAGCCCGCGGCCCAACCGCGGGACUGCAUUGGGAACUACCGGGCUGGAGUGCCGGAGAGGUAGGCGGAAUUCCUAGUGUAGCGGUGAAAUGCGUAGAUAUCAGGAGGAACACCGGUGGCGAAGGCGGCCUGCUGGACUGCAACUGACGUUGAGGCCCGAAAGCGUGGGGAGCAAACAGGAUUAGAUACCCGAGUA
Molecule: ribosomal RNA, 445 nt
Filed under: uncultured bacterium
Lineage: Bacteria
Description: bacterial SSU rRNA
Rfam family: Bacterial small subunit ribosomal RNA
Source: RNAcentral